UAGUAUUACUGGGGGUGCCUGUGAGCCAGGCUGAGAAAGGAACGCGAUGAAGUUCCUUAACCCUUUGGACCUGAUCUGGGUAAUGCCAGCGUGGGGAAGUAAACAACGGGUACA
RNAcentral lists this non-coding RNA (114 nucleotides) under Caldalkalibacillus thermarum. RNAcentral describes it as "TPP sequence". It matches the Rfam family "TPP riboswitch aptamer (THI element)". From Rfam's summary of the family: Vitamin B(1) in its active form thiamin pyrophosphate (TPP) is an essential coenzyme that is synthesised by coupling of pyrimidine and thiazole moieties in bacteria. Lineage: Bacteria; Bacillati; Bacillota; Bacilli; Caryophanales; Bacillaceae. RNAcentral also lists the same sequence under 1 other name. The record is from RNAcentral.